UAUUUAACCAGAAAGCCACGGCUAACUACGUGCCAGCAGCCGCGGUAAUACGUAGGUGGCAAGCGUUGUCCGGAUUUAUUGGGCGUAAAGCGAGCGCAGGCGGUUUUUUAAGUCUGAUGUGAAAGCCUUCGGCUCAACCGAAGAAGUGCAUCGGAAACUGGGAAACUUGAGUGCAGAAGAGGACAGUGGAACUCCAUGUGUAGCGGUGAAAUGCGUAGAUAUAUGGAAGAACACCAGUGGCGAAGGCGGCUGUCUGGUCUGUAACUGACGCUGAGGCUCGAAAGUAUGGGUAGCAAACAGGAUUAGAUACCCUGGUAGUCCAUACCGUAAACGAUGAAUGCUAAGUGUUGGAGGGUUUCCGCCCUUCAGUGCUGCAGCUAACGCAUUAAGCAUUCCGCCUGGGGAGUACGGCCGCAAGGCUGAAACUCAAAGGAAUUGACGGGGGCCCGCACAAGCGGUGGAGCAUGUGGUUUAAUUCGAAGCUACGCGAAGAACCUUACCAGGUCUUGACAUACUAUGCAAAUCUAAGAGAUUAGACGUUCCCUUCGGGGACAUGGAUACAGGUGGUGCAUGGUUGUCGUCAGCUCGUGUCGUGAGAUGUUGGGUUAAGUCCCGCAACGAGCGCAACCCUUAUUAUCAGUUGCCAGCAUUAAGUUGGGCACUCUGGUGAGACUGCCGGUGACAAACCGGAGGAAGGUGGGGAUGACGUCAAAUCAUCAUGCCCCUUAUGACCUGGGCUACACACGUGCUACAAUGGAUGGUACAACGAGUUGCGAACUCGCGAGAGUAAGCUAAUCUCUUAAAGCCAUUCUCAGUUCGGAUUGUAGGCUGCAACUCGCCUACAUGAAGUCGGAAUCGCUAGUAAUCGCGGAUCAGCAUGCCGCGGUGAAUACGUUCCCGGGCCUUGUACACACCGCCCGUCACACCAUGAGAGUUUGUAACACCCAAAGUCGGUGGGGUAACCUUUUAGGAACCAGCCGCCUAAGUGGACAGGAUGGGG
RNAcentral lists this ribosomal RNA (1000 nucleotides) under Lactiplantibacillus plantarum. RNAcentral's name for it is "bacterial SSU rRNA". It matches the Rfam family "Bacterial small subunit ribosomal RNA", at positions 476 to 1479 of the family's 1533-position model. Lineage: Bacteria; Bacillati; Bacillota; Bacilli; Lactobacillales; Lactobacillaceae. The record is from RNAcentral.